GGCUCUGUGGACGAACUGGUAGAGUUGCCGCCCUCUCAAGGCGGAGUUUGUGGGAUCAUGCCCCACCAGAGUCACCA
This 77-nucleotide transfer RNA is filed under the name Bacteriophage sp. RNAcentral's name for it is "tRNA-Glu". The record is from RNAcentral.